Molecule: ribosomal RNA, 467 nt
Filed under: uncultured bacterium
Lineage: Bacteria
Description: partial 16S ribosomal RNA
Rfam family: Bacterial small subunit ribosomal RNA
Source: RNAcentral
ACGAACGCUGGCGGCGUGCUUAACACAUGCAAGUCGAACGGAAAGGCCCUGCUUUUGUGGGGUGCUCGAGUGGCGAACGGGUGAGUAACACGUGAGUAACCUGCCCUUGACUUAGGGAUAACUUCAGGAAACUGGGGCUAAUACCGGAUAGGAGCUCCUGCUGCAUGGUGGGGGUUGGAAAGUUUCGGCGGUUGGGGAUGGACUCGCGGCUUAUCAGCUUGUUGGUGGGGUAGUGGCUUACCAAGGCUUUGACGGGUAGCCGGCCUGAGAGGGUGACCGGCCACAUUGGGACUGAGAUACGGCCCAGACUCCUACGGGAGGCAGCAGUGGGGAAUAUUGCACAUUGGGCGGAAGCCUGAUGCAGCAACGCCGCGUGCGGGAUGACGGCCUUCGGGUUGUAAACCGCUUUCGCCUGUGACGAAGCGUGAGUGACGGUAAUGGGUAAAGAAGCACCGGCUAACUACGUG